Molecule: ribosomal RNA, 443 nt
Filed under: uncultured bacterium
Lineage: Bacteria
Description: partial 16S ribosomal RNA
Rfam family: Bacterial small subunit ribosomal RNA
Source: RNAcentral
CCUACGGGAGGCAGCAGUGGGGAAUAUUGGGCAAUGGGCGCAAGCCUGACCCAGCAACGCCGCGUGAAGGAAGAAGGCUUUCGGGUUGUAAACUUCUUUUCUCAGGGACGAAGCAAGUGACGGUACCUGAGGAAUAAGCCACGGCUAACUACUUCCCAGCAGCCGCGUUAAUACGUAGGUGGCAAGCUUUAUCCGGAUUUACGGGGUGUAAGGGUCGUGUAGGCGGGUACGCAAGUAAGAUGUGAAAACCAUGGGCUCAACCUGUGGCCUGCAUUUGAAACUGUGUUGCUUGAGUACUGGAGAGGCAGACGGAAUUCCUAGUGUAGCGGUGAAAUGCGUAGAUAUUAGGAGGAACACCAGUGGCGAAGGCGGUCUGCUGGACAGCAACUGACGCUGAGGCGCGAAAGCGUGGGGAGCAAACAGGAUUAGAUACCCGGGUAGUC